This 164-nucleotide small nuclear RNA is filed under the name Macaca nemestrina (pig-tailed macaque). RNAcentral describes it as "U1 spliceosomal RNA (ENSMNEG00000024625.1)". It matches the Rfam family "U1 spliceosomal RNA". From Rfam's summary of the family: U1 is a small nuclear RNA (snRNA) component of the spliceosome (involved in pre-mRNA splicing). Lineage: Eukaryota; Metazoa; Chordata; Mammalia; Primates; Cercopithecidae. The record is from Rfam by way of RNAcentral.
AUACUUACCUGGCAGGGGAGAUACUAUGAUCACGAAGGUGGUUUUCCCAGGGUGAGGCUUAUCCACUGCACUCCAGAUGUGCUGACCCCUGCGAUUUCCCCAAAUGUGGGAAACUUGACUGCAUAAUUUGUGGUAGUGGGGGACUGUGUUCAUACUUUCCCCUG